CAGUACAGUACACCUGCUGACAGAUAGUUCACUCUUUCGUUUCCAAGAUGCCACGUUGUGAGUUGCUGAUGAACAACUGGGGCAUCUGGAAGUCUGUUGGUAGUCUGUGACCUCUGACAGCUGCAGCCUGGAAAAUGGGAAGCUCUAGAAGUAUCUACAAAUAACCCCAGAGCAUCAUCUCUACCUUCUGUAGGCGUGUCUACAGAUUGGGUAUCUAGAAGGAUUGUACAAGAAAUGAAAGCAGCAGAAAUAAAAGUAGAAACUUAUAGUGAGGCCAUUCAUUUGCCUGUAAAUACAUUUAAUAG
RNAcentral lists this long non-coding RNA (305 nucleotides) under Mus spicilegus (steppe mouse). RNAcentral describes it as "lncRNA (ENSMSIG00000017100.1)". Lineage: Eukaryota; Metazoa; Chordata; Mammalia; Rodentia; Muridae. The record is from RNAcentral.